UUCCACAAUAAGAAGUCUCCAUCCGAGCUUCCACGGCAACCGAUCUUCAUCCGAGCUUCUACAAUAAGCAGACUUCAUCCAGACUCCUACAAGAGCUGGACUCAGUCCGAACUUCUACAACAGAAUUGAAUCCCAGACUCCUCCAACGUUCGACCUUCUACAGUGUCCUCAAGACUCAUCCAGUGGAUGAACCUCCACAAUGCCAUCCAAACUCCAUUAUCGGUCGACCCACUGUUGGAUUCCUUAUGGAACCAGGCCUCUCCGACAGA
Molecule: long non-coding RNA, 269 nt
Filed under: Elaeis guineensis (African oil palm)
Lineage: Eukaryota; Viridiplantae; Streptophyta; Magnoliopsida; Arecales; Arecaceae
Description: long non-coding RNA (EGUI_LNC066855)
Source: RNAcentral